GAUGAACGCUGGCGGCGUGCCUAAUACAUGCAAGUCGAGCGAACGGACGAGAAGCUUGCUUCUCUGAUGUUAGCGGCGGACGGGUGAGUAACACGUGGAUAACCUACCUAUAAGACUGGGAUAACUUCGGGAAACCGGAGCUAAUACCGGAUAAUAUUUUGAACCGCAUGGUUCAAAAGUGAAAGACGGUCUUGCUGUCACUUAUAGAUGGAUCCGCGCUGCAUUAGCUAGUUGGUAAGGUAACGGCUUACCAAGGCAACGAUGCAUAGCCGACCUGAGAGGGUGAUCGGCCACACUCGAACUGAGACACGGUCCAGACUCCUACGGGAGGCAGCAGUAGGGAAUCUUCCGCAAUGGGCGAAAGCCUGACGGAGCAACGCCGCGUGAGUGAUGAAGGUCUUCGGAUCGUAAAACUCUGUUAUUAGGGAAGAACAUAUGUGUAAGUAACUGUGCACAUCUUGACGGUACCUAAUCAGAAAGCCACGGCUAACUACGUG
This 497-nucleotide ribosomal RNA is filed under the name uncultured bacterium. RNAcentral describes it as "partial 16S ribosomal RNA". It matches the Rfam family "Bacterial small subunit ribosomal RNA", at positions 28 to 507 of the family's 1533-position model. The record is from RNAcentral.